AACGCACAUUGCGCCUCUUGGUAUUCCGAGGGGCAUGUCUGUUUGAGCGUCAGUACACACCUCUCGUCGCACUUUUCUGCGCGGCGGGGCUUUGGGACGGGCCCGCCUCCGGGCGGGUCCUCCCUAAUGUGGCACGCUUGCGGACCUCUAGUCAGCAGUCAACGUAGUAAACUUAAACGCUCGUGGACCGAAAGACUCCGGAGGGCCUCGCCUGAAUCAAACUUCUAUGGUUUGACCUCAGAUCAGACAAGGAUACCCGCUGAACUUAA
This 269-nucleotide unclassified non-coding RNA is filed under the name uncultured fungus. RNAcentral's name for it is "partial contains 5.8S ribosomal RNA, internal transcribed spacer 2, and large subunit ribosomal RNA". The stretch from base 1 to 52 matches the Rfam family "5.8S ribosomal RNA", at positions 103 to 154 of the family's 154-position model. The record is from RNAcentral. Lineage: Eukaryota; Fungi.